GACGAACGCUGGCGGCGUGCUUAACACAUGCAAGUCGAACGGAAAGGCCCUGCUUUUGUGGGGUGCUCGAGUGGCGAACGGGUGAGUAACACGUGAGUAACCUGCCCCUGACUUUGGGAUAACUUCAGGAAACUGGGGCUAAUACCGGAUAGGAGCUCCUGCUGCAUGGUGGGGGUUGGAAAGUUUCGGCGGUUGGGGAUGGACUCGCGGCCUAUCAGCUUGUUGGUGGGGUAGUGGCUUACCAAGGCUUUGACGGGUAGCCGGCCUGAGAGGGGGACCGGCCACAUUGGGACGGGGAUACGGCCCGGACUCCAACGGGAGGCAGCGGUGGGGAAUAUUGCACAAGGGGCGGAGGCCUAAUGCAGCAACGCCACGUGCGGGAUGACGGCCUUCGGGUUGUAAACCGCUUUCGCCUGUGACGAGGCGUGAGUGACGGUAAUGGGUAAAGAAGCACCGGCUAACUACGUG
RNAcentral lists this ribosomal RNA (468 nucleotides) under uncultured bacterium. RNAcentral's name for it is "partial 16S ribosomal RNA". It matches the Rfam family "Bacterial small subunit ribosomal RNA", at positions 28 to 507 of the family's 1533-position model. The record is from RNAcentral.